Molecule: long non-coding RNA, 1951 nt
Organism: Phacochoerus africanus (Common warthog)
Lineage: Eukaryota; Metazoa; Chordata; Mammalia; Artiodactyla; Suidae
Exons: 2
Source: RefSeq, a predicted model, not a curated record
CCAGAUCCUUAACCCACUGAGUGAGGCCAGGGAUCGAACCUGCAACCUCAUGGUUCCUAGUUGGAUUCGUUUCCGCUGCGCCAUGACGGGAACUCCCCUUGUGAUAUUUUCGGUGCACACAUGCACAAGCACGCAGACAUAUACACAGAGUUUAAUAUACUUGAGAUAGUCCUGAAUAUACACUGCUGCUGUUUUGCUGGUGAACACCUGUCUCACUAUCUCUCAGUAAGAAUUGUUUAAAGCCACUGCCCUGAGCCUCCUGAGGGUCUACCGUAGCCACUUAAUUCCUCCCUCCCCGGGACACCCCCUCCUGCACCGGCUCUGGGAUCCAGCUCUGAGCUGUGACCUGUGGCCAUUCUCCCAUGCUCUCUAACCAUCUGGUUUUGUAUUUUAACAUCCCCCUGGCCUCUUUUUAGUGCAAACAGUAGCUAUGCUUAUUAAUCUAAGGGCAGGGCAGUGAUGGGGGUACAGAAUCUGAAGCUAGACUGCUUGGGUACAAGCCCUGGUUCAGCCUCACACUGUCACUGUGACCUUAGUGAGUCCUGUGUCUUCUCUGUGCCUUGUUUCUUCAUGUCCGAGUUGGAGGCUCUCAGGGCUGUUCUGAGGCAUGAGUGAGUGAAUGUAUGUAAGCAGGGAGAGCAGUGUUGGUGUAUACUCAGUGCAUCAGCUGUUAUUAUUGAGCAUCUACACCGUGUCAGGCACAGGGCUAAGUGCUUCGUGUUACUGAGCCCCCAGAUUCCCCAUCAAGUAGGUAUCAUCACCCUCGUGUAAAGGGAAUUAAAUCUCCGAGAAAUGAAGGAACAUGUCCUUGGUUACGUGCUGGUGCCAACAGACACAGUAGGUUGGAAUUCCCAUCUUGCUGCGCCUAAAUCCAUGCUGUCCCCUGAGCCCUAGGUCCUUCUGGGGAGGGAGUGGUGCUUUGCAGCAGAGGAGAAAGAGAAGGCCACCAGUUGGUGCAGGUACCUCUGGCGGAUGUUGAGCGCACGAAGAUGCCCAGUGGAUGCAGAGUGUGGAGGAAAACAGAGCACCCAUCUGCUUCCAGGCACGGUCCCUGUCACGCUGGUGCUGGACGCAGCAGCACUUCUCUCUGGUGGCCACAAGGAACUUCCUUCCAGUAUUUUAUGAAAAUGCUAUUCAGAGGAAGUGACCCAAUUCAUCUCUCCCUCAUGGUUCCACUCUCUUAAGUGAGCAGAAAGAUCUGAGAUUAAAGAAUGAAAGAGAGAGAGAAACAGAUACAGAGUCUCUGUAGGUGAGAGGAGGCCAGACAGGACUAAAACUGAGGACUCUAGGCUGCCACCGCCCAGGACAUGCUGGGGACACUGAGACAGAUAGUUUUACUGCUGGCACAGUCUCUUCAGAGAAUCGUGCGGCAGCAUUGGAAGUGGGUGUUUCGAACUGCAUAGACCUUGAGCCCAGGCUCAGCUCAGAAACCUGCUGGGAGCUGCUGUGGAAUCAGUGACGAUUUAGCAAUCUGCCUGGUCAUGACCUUGAUUCGUCCUUCGUGCUCUACACCUUAGGGAUAAAGAAAAGUGAAACCUAAAAACAGUAAGUAGGUGGUUGAAUCAGGGGGCACAAUGGCCCUCAUCCCUCCUCCUCUGACUUGCUGGAGCAGCUCAUCCUUCAACAGAGCCCUGAUUGUAAUUACAGCUCAGACCCCACACAGCACAGGGCACAGAUGAGAGACCUGGCUCCGUCCAAUCGACCUCCAAUGUCUGCUGAGGCUCCUACGGGGCACGCCUGCUUCACGGGGUAUAAGCCUGUUGACAUGUGGGGUCUGGAACUGCUGCAGGCAUCUUGUUAGUAGGAGGGGGCAUGGCUUGGAUGCCCAGGAAGGCAGAGCCAAGGGAUGGAAACUGUUUGGAUCCUUGAAGAUGGCAUUGAUCCUGUCUUUUAAAGUUGGACUGAAUACAGACUUAUUGCUAUGUGAAAGAAUAAAUGUCCUUAUGGUUAA